Molecule: transfer RNA, 66 nt
Filed under: Carinata rufipenna
Lineage: Eukaryota; Metazoa; Arthropoda; Insecta; Hemiptera; Cicadellidae
Also listed under: 1 other name
Description: tRNA-Glu
Source: RNAcentral
GUUUAUAUAGUUUAAUAAAAACAUUUUGUUUUCAGUAAAAAAAUAGUUUCAAAUAACUUAUAAAUA